RNAcentral lists this long non-coding RNA (23825 nucleotides) under Zea mays. RNAcentral describes it as "long non-coding RNA (ZMAY_LNC003133)". The record is from RNAcentral. Lineage: Eukaryota; Viridiplantae; Streptophyta; Magnoliopsida; Poales; Poaceae.
CAGAAGCAGGCUAGCUAGCGACUGAUCGAGUGACAACGGCGUGCUCUGCUCUCCCUGUCUCUCUGACGAGUGUUGACAUACAGGGACUUCGGCUUCGAUCCGCUGGGCCUCGCGACCGUGCCGGAGAACUUCGAGCGGUUCAAGGAGUCAGAGGUGUACCACUGCCGCUGGGCCAUGCUUGCCGUCCCCGGGAUCCUGGUGCCGGAAGCUCUGGGCCUGGGCAACUGGGUGAAGGCGCAGGAGUGGGCGGCCGUCCCCGGCGGGCAGGCCACGUACCUGGGCGCCCCGGUGCCGUGGGGCACGCUGCCGACCAUCCUGGUGAUCGAGUUCGUGGCCAUCGCCUUCGCCGAGCACCAGCGCACCAUGGAGAAGGACCCCGAGAAGAAGAAGUACCCCGGCGGCGCCUUCGACCCGCUCGGCUUCUCCAAGGACCCCGCCAAGUUCGAGGAGUACAAGCUCAAGGAGAUCAAGAACGGCCGCCUCGCCAUGCUGGCCUUCGUCGGCUUCUGCGUCCAGCAGUCGGCGUACCCCGGCACCGGCCCGCUGGAGAACCUCGCCUCCCACCUCGCCGACCCGUGGCACAACAACAUCGGCGACAUCAUCAUCCCCAGAUCAAUCUCCCCUUGAGCUCAGCUCAGCUGCUGGUUGCUGUUUCCUGUGUACGACUAGGCCCUGCCUGUACAACGAGCGACGACGGUGACUUCCCGCCCGGAAAUUAAACCCUCGUAAUGUAAAGCUUAUGUUAUUAAGUAGCGGCUACUCUUGUAGUCUUGUCUGUAUCAAAUAUAAACUGGUUUGUUAGCUGAAUCCCAAGGUUAUUUCUGAGCCUAACCAGGGGAAAUUUAGCUCAAAACGGAGAAAAUACAUACGAGACCUUUGAUAACUACAAAGUAUUGUAUUUCAUGAGCUAGACACGAUGUUUUUUUUUAAGAUUCACGAGGGAGAGCCUCUACUGAGAUUUUAUUAGAAAUGACAAAAGAAAAUGUUACAACUUAGCCUAGUUACAAAACGUAAUCCAAAAGAUCUAAUUAUGUAGUUUACAAGCAAUGUAGCAAGUAGAACAACUCUUAUGUCUGCCACGAACUCAGCCAAUUCGGGAUGAAAAUGUAAAAUUCACACGCGCUCUGUUAAUGAUCAACCACAGCUCCUUACAGAAUUCUUGCGUACAGUGAUAAACCGAAGGAUCUUUAUUUGUAAAUAGCCAUUCAUUUCGGCUUUUCCAGAUGCUCCAAGUCAUGAGAAUGAUAAUCUCCAUAGAGAAAAGGACGUUAAGUUGGUGUUUAAGGUUUGCUGAGGCCUCCUCUGGAUUAGAAAUUCUGGGGGUUAUUCCAAUUGAGUUCCAGGAGGCUUUUGCAAAAUUGCAUCUGAGGAACAAAUGAUAAAGCGUCUCCUCCCUUUGCCAUAAACAAUUCUCACAUGAGUAAGAUUCCAGGGUCAUGUUUUUCCUUCUUAGCAUAUCUCUGGUAUUUAGUCUAUUUUUAAGCCACAGCCAAUAGAAAACUCUAUGCUUAGGUUGGUGCUCUUCCAUAAGUGUUUGUAGAUAGGGUGAACCUGCGUCUGGCCCAUAAAGUGCCUGUAAGCUUUUUGCGAAGAGUAGUUGUCAGAGCCCCAAAUGUAUCGCCAACGGUCGUGAACAUUACUGAGGGCAAUUUGCUCCGAGACCACCUGCAACUCCAGAUACUGAUCAUAAGCUUGCUCAGAAAUAGGCAAAUGGAAAAAACCAGCGAACUGAUUCUGCUCUUUAGCUUCUUUGAUAGAUAGCUUUGUGUUUUUGACAAAAGAGAAUAGUUCUGGAAAUUUUUGUCUUGGGAUGUUCUGGCUCCACUGAUCAUCCCAGAACGAAAUUGAUCUACCAUUGCCAAUGACUGGGUGCGCCAGGCCCUUAAAGUUGGGGAGGAGCUUGAUCAUGCUCUUCCACCAGAAAGAACCAAUGUUUCUAUGACCUGGCAGUCCACUGGACAAAUAGUAAUUAUUCUAGAUGAGAUUCACCCAUGGUAAGUCACUGUUAUUGAAGAAUUUAUGCAAAAAUUUGAUCAGAAGAGCCUCGUUUUGAGUUUCAAGGCGAAGCACCCCUAGCCCGCCAUUCACUUUUCUCUGAGUAACCGAAACCCAAGCAAUCAGAGGCGAUUUCUUGGAACUAAGGUCAUUCCCUCUCCACAGACAGUUUCUCCUGAAGAUGUCUAUUUGCUUAAUGAUGGUUUUAGGAAUCUUGAGCGUACACAUAAAGAAGGUUGGCAGAGCUGAAAAGACUGAAUUUACCAACACCAAGCGCCCAACUUGGGAUAAAAAAUUUGAAGAGCAUGACAAUCUCUUUUCAAUCCUUUGGAUAAGAGGCAGAAAGUGCUGCUUUCUGGAUUUCGCAAGGCCCAAAGGCAAUCCAAGAUAGGUGAAUGGCAUUCCUCCAAUCUGGCAGUUGAGAGUUCGAGAGAGGAUCUCCAUCUUCUCUGAAGGCACAUUUAUUGGAUACAUAUUUGAUUUGUUAUAGUUUACCUUUAGGCCAGUAGAAGUCUCAAAUGAGUUGAGAAUUGCCUUAAGGAAGAAAAGUUGCUUUGGACAAGCCUCUAGAAUCAAAAGAGUAUCAUCUGCAUACUGAACAAUCGGGAAAUCCAGGUCACCAAUAGCAGGUAAAGGAAGCUUAAGAAGAUUCAAAAGCCUGGCCUUAUUAAUAAUGCUCUGAAGAAGGUCAGCCGCCAAGACGAACAACAGUGGCGAAAGAGGGUCUCCUUGUCUAAUACCUCGCUUGCAAUGGAAGGAUUUACCAGGGACGCCAUUGAGCAACACCGAAGAAGUGCCAGAAAGAAGGAUGCUCCGAACCCAAUUAACCCACUUAGGACCAAAGCCUUUGUGGAUCAAAACUUGAAGAAUCAGUUCAUGCUCAACAGUGUCAAAAGCCUUUUCGAAGUCUAGUUUAAGCACAAUGAUUUCUUUCUUUGAGGAGUGGCAUAAGUGAAUGUAUUCAUAAGCCCAAGCCAAGCAAUCCUGAAUAGAUCUGCCCUUGAUGAAACCAUAUUGGUUCCUAUGAAUUAAUCGAGACAUGAACGACUGCAGACGAUUUGCCAAAAGCUUCAUUAGGAUUUUCAUACUAUUGUUUAAUAACGAAAUUGGCCUAUAAUCUCCCACCUUCUGCGUAUUCUCCUUCUUCGGGAUCAAAACAAUGAAGGACCCAUUAAUACUUCUUAGGCAAACUUCACCAUGAUAGAAUUUUUCACAAAGAUCAUAGAAGUCUUGAGCAAUGAUAUGCCAACACUUCUUAAUGAAGUUGGUAUUGAAACCAUCAGGACCAGGAGAUUUAUCCGAAGGUAAUGAUUUUAUAAUGCUGUCAAUCUCCAUCUUAGUGAACGGGGUGUCUCACUCGUGAAGCUCCUCAUUACGGAUUAAAAGCUCUGGAAGGUCAAAAUCAAUGCCUGAGAAAUCAGACGAUCCCAAUCUGCACUUGAAAGCAUCCCAGAGGAGACCAGAUUUAUGUUCGUGCUCAAAAUGUAUGACCCCAUUCUCGUCAGUCAAAGUGGCAAUUGAAUUUUUCCUGUGUUUAAUGGUGGCAUGAGCAUGGAAGAAACGAGAGCCAAUGUCACCAUCAGUUACCCACUUAAUAGUCGCCCGCUGCUUCCAAUAAAUUUUCUGAAUGUUCAGUAGAUCGGCCACUUUUUGCUGCAGAAUAUCUCUGAAAUUCCAUUCCUCAAUAGAAAGAUCCCGAUGCUCUUCCAUAUUGUCUAUAAGUUCAAUUAGUAGCUUGAUGUUUUGCACCGUUUUAUCAAUUUUUGGCAGCGAUCUCUACCAAUCCUUCAGAACCUUUCGAACACACUUAAACUUGGCAGUCAGGUUUUUAGCCUUGUCAGGAAGGCAAGGGAGCCCAGCCCACGUGGUUUGAAAGAAAUUCAAGAAACCGUCCAAUUCGAGCCAGAAGUUUUCAAACCGAAAAAUUUUAGGUUUAGGGAUCUUGGACUUAAAAGAAACCAGGCAAGGAACAUGGUCAGAGAUGUCUCCCGGCAUCGUUUUGGCACAGAAAUCUGGAUAAACGAUCGACCAUUCUUGAGAGAUGAAAAACCAAUCCAGCCUCUGAAGAAGGGGUUCCCUCUGUCUGUUCGACCAGGUGUAUGCUAAGCCGUGAAGGGGAAUUUCAAUCAAAUCUAAGUUGCUUAUUGCUUCAUUGAACUUCAGCAUUAAGUUAAUAUCACCCCCAGCCUUAUUUCUGUCUUUAGGCCGACGAAUUAAAUUUAAGUCCCCAACAAGGAGCCAAAGCUUGUCAGAAGGCAUAGAAAUAUUAUGCAGCCAAUUGAGGAAAUCGAUUUUCCCUUGUGAAGUACAAGGAGCAUAAACGUUUGUAAUAAUCUAGGAGCAAGCCGAUAAAUUUGAAGUAAAUUCCACCGACUGAGCAUAAUCAUUUUGGAAGAUAACAUUUCCUGAAAGUUUUGAGCUUUUCCAGAUGAUAACUGAACCUCUCGAGUUCCCCACCGAGGGAACAAAAGCAAAUGAAUCAAAUUGAGAAGGACAGAAGUUUUUUAGGUAAAACGAAUCAAAGAGAUCCUUUUUUGUUUCUUGUAGACAGAUAACAUCGCAUCUAGAAUCCCGAAUUGAACAACGAAUGGCGUUCCAUUUAAUAGUAGAAUUAAUUCCUCUAACAUUGUAACUCAGCACAGACCACUCCAAAUAAUUAACAUCAUUUAAGUUACUCAUUGAGUAAACUAGAAGUUUUUGAGCCAGAACGAUACCCAAAACAGUGGGUAAAAUAAGUGUCAGUCGGCAAGCAAAAGAGGAACAUAAAGGUAAAACAAGCACGCACAGGUGCCAGCCAAGUAUCUAGAAGUCCUGGGAAGACCCAACCCAUAAACAUGCACACCCAAAAGUUAGAGGGGCAAAAACCAUAGCCCAGACCACCCGCCUUCCACCUAGUGCUUAUCUUGCUUAUCCUCAUCUGUUGAGCCAUCAGUCCUCUCAUCAUCCGAAUCCUUUCUGCUUGUCCUAUGCUGGCCAACAGAUCCCACAGCAGAUUUCUUCUUCUUCAAACGGCGCUCAGAUAAGUCGUCAUAUGACAAGUUGCAGAACCCGCUCCCCAGAUUCUGAAUCACCUUGGAGGACAGCAAGGGUGGGCCAUCAAAGUUAUGCUGGCACAUGAGACAAUUCCUUUUUGGGCAGGCCCCAUUCCUGAACCCACCAUGUGAUUCCUUCAAGCGCUUACUUCUUCUGAGUUCAGACUCCACAAUGAUAGGUGCCGGGGCAUCACAACUGUCCGAUUCUUUGGAGCUCUCAGAAAGGACAUCAUCUAGAAGUUUAACAUUCGGACAUUCCUUAGGGAUGGCAAAAGGUAAAGAUUUCAGUCCCGGUUCUAGCAGAGUUGAGGGAAUUGCUGAUAACAGAAAGGACUUCUACCAACUGAAGGCUUCAGGUUGAAGCAGCUUCGAAAGAAAAAAGGGUGCCCAGUUCUUUGCGAUAUCCACCGAGGGGUCAGUUGACCCAGCAGGUGCAAAGUACAUGGCCCAAAGUCUGGAGAACUGGGCAGCUCUUUUCCUCUCCUCAAACAUCUGAAACACAGGGUCAGGUUGCCAUCCCUGAUUGACCAUGAAAUUCAUCUCUAAAUUCUGGAAAUGGUUAUUAUUUGGAUCCCCAACUUGGGCCUAAUGCGGCAAAUCAGCAAUACCAGGGACAGGGUCCACUUGAAGCGCCGGGCCAUCAACCUCCUGAGGCCCAUUGAAUGCAGCAAUAUUGACAGCAAGCCCAUCCCCUGGCAAAAUAGGACCAUUCUCAACAACAUGGCCAUUCUGUAGAGGUGCAACUUGACCAGCGCCAAAGGAACUAUCCGACGACAAGCCUGAGUGCUGAUUACUGAGUUGAAGCUCAUCCGGUUGAAUGGGUUGCAAAUCAGGCUGAAAGGGCUGCAGAAUCUGUUGAUUGGGUUGAACAUUUUCGAUCCACUAGUCCCAAUCCCCAUGGGCAUUGUCAUCCUGAAGAGCCGGCAAAUCACCACCCGCAUUCCCCGACGGGAAAUUUAGGUCAAGCCCAACCGGGGGCAUUGGCUGACCCAGACCGAAGAAAACCAAGGGAAGUUGCUGACCAUCUUCCGGGGCAGGAGGAAUAGGGUCCUCAUCCUGAGCCUGCCCGCCAAGCAUGUUUUGCUGAAUAAUCUCACACUGAACAGUCCAAGAAUCACCAACGAAGCCCUCAGCCUCCAAAAAAACAAUGAAUUGAGGAACUUCUUCAAAGGAAGUGACACGGACACGAAGCAAGGUUCUAGAAACAUUACUCCGAUCCUCCUCCCAAAGAAUCAACCUGCAAACGACCCAAUGGCUGCUUGCAAGUACUCCGAGGAACAGUAAUCCAGGGGAAACCCCAGUAGCAUAAGCCAACAAUCAUGGUUGAACAAAAGAGCCCGAUGAUUCCAGGCGUCAUUGUGGCGAACAUCAGUGAAAGUAGCAUCUAAGUAUUGUUGGGGGCCAAGCAGAACCAAAUUGUCUCGCUCCAAAACACUGCGAAACUGCACUAGCACCUGGCCCAAAUGAGAGCGCUGGAUGGCUCUAACCCCAACCCUUCGAUGUUCCACAAGGUACUCUCUGACCACAUCUCUGACCGCAGGGAACAAGACCUCAUGCUCAGGUAAAGGAUGAAUAUUGAUAAUCGCCCAUUCUUCAUGCAUUGGCGGUAAUCUCUGCAAGACUGACCUGACAAUGAUUUCAAGAUGCUGCACCGCCGAAGCGUGGAAGCCUGGCGGGAGGAAAGGCUCCGGGUCGACGCGCCGGUACGCCAUAGCAAGAUUUUCCGAAGAUCGCCGGUGAGCCGAAGGCAAGGUAGCGGUUUGGGGUUUUGGUGAAGUCACACCCAGCGAGAGCUCCAAGGACGCUACGGGCGCCUGUUCGUAUUUUUUAAUAAGACCGCCCUGGCAAACUCCUCGAAGCAGGCAAAUAUGGGAGGGGCCCCAGCCGUCAGAGACCCCGGGGUAGGGCGGAACCAGGAGCCGUAAACCGGGAAAUGAGACGUCCCUUCCAAAAGGCAAUUGCUUUCAAAGGAAGGGAACGAAGCGAGGGGAAAUCCGAAUACUGUUUUCUUAAGAUUGCAAAACAAUUCCAAAUGCCCCUUAACUUUACAAUAGUGGCAGAGAAACACUGAGGGAGCCGCACCAGACGAACCAGCCUUCACAGAGAUGGAAGAGGCCGAAGGGCCAGGCCCAGGCAUGAAAGGCCCAUUGCGCAGAAUGGGCCGCCAAUGAAGCUUACGGAUCCUGAGGAGACCAGCAUUUGAAUUUGAAAAAGGGCGAUCAUCAUGCCCCUGACGACCACGUCUAAUCAAGCUUCCGUUGUGCCUAGGAAAACUCACCGAAGAAGAAAGCCUGAGAGGAGGAUUGCUUAUCGGGGUUCCCGAGGACUUAGCAAAGACUGAAUACUGCGAGCCCCGAGCCCCUGAAGAGGUUCCCAAUCUUUUGAAGACAGAUAGCCUUGGCUCCUCCAAAUUACCAGGGAAGCGAGGAGACAACCUACGUCGACGAAUUGGAACAGCGUUCGCACCAGUCAACGGCGGAAUCCUAACAAUAUUAGCAAACGAUUUUUUUCUUGCCCUUAACAAACCACCAGUUGGCAUUUUCCUCCUGAAGAAAUAAUCUGUAUUCGUAGAUCCAAUUUCGUCCACCAAAGUUCCACAAGUUGAAGAAAGCCUUGAAUUCCGGAUGAACAAUGCAUUUAGAAUUAUAAAUGUGAAAACCAACAGCCUUGGAGGAAACUGUGAAGCGGAACACCCGAUCAGCAAGCUGAGAAACAUUGAAUCCCCUGGCAAAACCACCCAGAGCAGCUUGAAGAAGAUGACUAACUGAAACCGAGUCAAGCUUGAAGAUGCAGCGGCCAAACGAGACCACCAGCCAAAAGGCCGACGGACAAUCUGGACUUCUAGAACACACAGGGGAGGCAAACCGGCGCCUGACAUCAUCUUCGAAUAGCAAACCCGGUCGAAAGUCCAGCCUUGACAAAUCCAUCACGCAAGAUGAAGAAGACCAAGAAGAGGGGAAUGGAAAAGCACAGACGCGAGGUGAUACAAACUCGAGAGACAACCAAAGACGAAGAGGAUGCAGCUAGCAGACAAGAGCCCACCGUCAGGAUCCUCCACGGAACAAGCACACGACCGACCCCAAUGAAGCCAUCAGCGAAGCAGGAGCCUGUACCCUGGGCGGUUAGGCCGUUCCUAGCUAGACACGAUGUUGUUGGCGAGAAUAAUAAUUUCAUCAUGAUGGAUGAUUUCGUCCAAGAUGUGGUUGAUGUCCAGGGUGAAAAUGAUGGGGAGCUUAGUGAGGAGACCUUGGAGGUCCUCGAGGAUGCAUAGUUCUUUGAUGAAUUCAUUAACCACCUCAAUAAUGAUGACCUUCUAUUUGGGAGCCCAUGGUGGAUAGAGAGCCUCAAAGAAUUGAAACAUGUGACAAUGGGUCUGCUCUAUAAGGAUUGUCCAAAGGAAUGGAGGAUGUUGUAUUUUGAUCUCCAAAUGUGGAUGUUGAAGGGUCUUUUUGGAUGGUCCUACACUAGCUUCAAUGAGUUGCUAAGUAAUCUUGGUUCUGUGCUUCUAAAGGACAAUAAAGUGCUCGCCAACAUUUAUCGAGCGAAGGAGCUAAUAUGGCUAGUGUCACAAAGUCUUCAAAAGAUCCGCUCUUGUCCUAACCAUUGUAGAAUAUACGGGGCACCCAAUAUAUGAGCUUAGGGAGCUAUCCACACCAUGACACGAGUCAAUACAAGAGGAAUGUUUGGUCUCGCGUGGAUGCGAACGACGAGAGAGCCUUGAGUGAGAAAAAGAAGGUGACCAAGAAGAGUAGUGUGAAUUGUUGGACCGGAUCGACGGCGAACAGCGCAAAGAACUCAGUGUAGCGCAGUGCCGCCGGAGCGCGAUCACCACGUCUCAACGGAAGAGAGGACACAGUUGUAUUUUCUGUUGCUGCAACUGUGCAACCUUGCAAAUGCAUUCAACUGGGAAUUAAAACACCCGGAUCCGUCUUCCCCGCUGCACUCAACUGCUGCGAGACGUGCCGUAAUUUCAGCAACGUCCGCGACAUGCACGGCGAGCUAAGUCGCAGCGAAAAAACGCCCUUUGAAGCGGUCACGGCGAGGACUGAGUGCACCCAUCAGUCCGCCCAUGAUUCUACGCUGAAUUACAAAAAUGCACGCGCAAUCUAAAACAAACUAAUGCACCUACUAACAAUAUCCCUGACAAGAUUACAGUGAGGCUACUGCAACAUUUACCCCCCAUAAUCUUGUUAAUCUGCAAUUCGAAUUAUUCCAAGCUGUCUCCUCAACUCUGUGAACCGAAUUCUUCCCAGAGGCUUCGUCAAGAUAUCUGCUAGCUGAUCAUCUGAACUUACAUGUUCAAUAUCAAGAACACCACUGCUCACACACUCCCUAAUGUAAUGAUACCGGGUGUCGAAUAUGUUUACUUCUCUCAUGGUACACAGGAUUUUUGCUCAGUUCUUGUGCCGACCGGUUGUCUAUCAAAAGCUUCAAACUCUUCUGCUCAGUACCCAGUAGGUCUGCAAGAAGCCGGUUUAACCAAACACCUUGAUAGGCUGCUAUUGCAGCUGCUAUAUAUUCAGACUCACACGAUGAAAGUGAUACUACCUUUUGUUUCUGAGAAGUCCAGGUGAUUAUGUUCGUACCCAGAAAGAAAACUACACCACUAGUACUCUUUCUCUUUACAAGAUCUCCAGCAUGAUCACUAUAUCUGAGUAUCCGAAAAGUUCUGACGCCACCCCUCUUAGGUAUCUACACCCGAGAUGCUUUGUGCCUGAUAUAUAGCGGAUAAUUCUCUUGACAGCAGCCCAAUGUUCUGCAUUUAGUGACUCCAUCAAUCUACUAACCAUUCCCACCGCUACUUUUUGUUCUCGUAGCAGACCUAUUACAGUGCAUCAUUAACAAGGCUCAUCAACUUGGCCUCCUUCAGCUCCCCUUGCCACCCAAAGAUGGGGCUGGAUUUCCGAUUAUACAAUAUGCCGAUGAUACAAUUAUUGUCAUGAAAGCCUCACAAAGGGAGCUUUUCUGCUUAAAAGCUUUGCUCGAGAGUUACGCCCUAUCAACAGGGCUAAUAAUCAACUACGUAAAAUCCUGUUUAGUUCCUAUCAACACUGACAGUAAAAAAACUAAACUUCUUGCUGGUCUCUUUGGUUGCAAGAUUGAAUCUCUUCCCUUUACAUAUUUGGGGCUACCGAUGGGGACAACAAAGCCAAGGGUUGAGCACUAUGGACCCAUUAUGAGCAAGAUUGAAAGGAAGGUAACCUCCAUCUCUUCUAUGUUGUCACAUGCAGGGAGACUUCAACUUGUCAACUCUGUCCUCUCGUCUCUACCAACAUACGCCAUGUGCACCUUACAAGUUCCAGCUGCGGUCUUGGAGUACAUUGACACAGCCAGACGACACUGUUUGUGGCGUAAUUCUGAUAGCAAUGCAAAAUCUAAGCCUCUGGUGGCUUGGAAUAAAUGCACACGACCAAAGAAAAAAGGUGGUCUGGGGGUCAUCAACCUAAGAAGCCAGAACUCGUAUCUCCGAAUGAAAUUUCUUCACAAGCUCUACAACAGGAAACAAAUCCCUUGGGUUAACCUGGUUUGGAAUACCUACUACUCUAACGGCAAGACCCCUCAUGCAUCCAAGUUCAUGGGCUCAUUUUGGUGGAGAGACGCCCUUAAACUUUGUGAUCUCUUCAGAGGAAUCUCCAACUGUAAGGUUGGAGAUGGUAAAACUGUUCUAUUUUGGCAUGAUUUAUGGAAUGACAACAUCUGCAGAAACAAAUUUCCAAGGCUUUUCACCUUCGCAAAAAAUCAAAGCAUUUCGGUUGCUUCCUUUUUGACUUAGGAGAACUUGACAGACAAUUUCCACUUACCCCUUACUGAGCAAGCAAACACCGAGCUGCAACAGCUCCUGGAUGAAGUGCAACAAAUUCGAGAAUCAGUGAUUGAACCAGAAGAGAAAGACUCUUGGAGUUAUAUUUGGGGGAAUAACACCUACUCGUCAACUAAACUUUACCACUACACUUUCAAAAAUGUGAAUCCUCCAAAACCAUUUCUCUGGAUCUGGGAGUCCAGAUGUUCAAACAAGCUUAAAGUCUUCGCCUGGCUACUGUUGAUGGACAUGCUGAACACCAUAAACAUCCUAAAGAGAAAGAACUUUAAGGUGCAAGGCGACAACUACAGGUGUGCUCUUUGUCAACUUCAAAGAGAAGAAACUGCCUUCCAUUUGUUUUUCAAUUGCCCUUUCAGCAAAGACUAUUGGAGACAUCUGAAUAUUCAGUGGAACCACCAUAUUGACUUCUUUGCGACCUUUCAACAAGCCAGGGACUUGCACGGUUCACCAUUCUUUAUGGAGGUCUUUAUCAUAGCAGCUUGGCGAAUCUGGAAGCAAAGAAACAGUUUUAUCUUUGACAGGGGACGACCAUCUUUCAUUGGCUGGAAAAAAGAAUUCCGCGCCGAAGCUCUUCUGCAAGCUAAUCGCUUUUCUGAAGAGAAAUCAACUCUUUUCUCCUCGCUUGUGAAUUCCUAUAGAUAGGAGAUAGUUUUUUUUCCUGUGCUUUAGUUAGUUUCCUUCUAGUUUAUGUCUUGGGAGCGACUGCUAAUGCUCUUUAUCCGUCUUCUUCUUUAUAUUAAUAUAUAUCUACCACAACAGGGGCUUCCCUUGCUGUACAUUUUCAAAAAAAAAGUAGGACAGGUCAGGUCUGGUAUUUACCAAAUACCUCAAGCUAACAACAAUACUCCUAUAUCUAGUUGCGUCCAAACUGUGUUUAGGUUUACCUGGUGUCAGUUUCAGAUGUUGCUCCAUUAGAGUGUCAACUGGAUUACAACAUGUCAUACCACAGGCUUCAAUUAUUUUCUCUGCAUAGGCACUCUGGCCAAUGGUUACUUCACCUGGAUUUUGUUUUACUUCAAUGCUGAGAUAGUAACUCAGUAGACCCAGGUCACUCAUACUAAAGGUAGCCAUCAUCUGCUGUUUGAAAACAGCUAUGCACUCUCUGUCAGGGCCACAUAUAAUAAGGUCAUCCACAUACAGCCCAACUAGUAGCAAACUCAUUUCCACCCCUCUUCUGUAAACUGCAUGCUCUUUAAGGCUCCUUUGAAGCCCAGUUGACCAUUUCAAGAUCAAGUCUGGCAUUCCAAGCUCUAGGAGCCUACUUCAGUCCAUAUAGAGCCUUUUUUAGUCUUAGAACCUUUCUUUUUGAAUUUGAAUCAGAAAAACCUGGUGGUUGGUUUACAUAUACUUCUUCCUUGAGAUCCCCAUUCAGAAAGGCUGACUUUACAUCCAUGUGGUGUACUUCACAUUCACCUUGAGCUGCAAGAGUCAAUAGAAUCCUUACUGUUUCUAGCCUUGCCACAGGUGCAAAAACUUCCUCAUAAUCCACUCCAUGAAUCUGAGAAUAACCCUUUGCAACUAAUCUGGCCUUACGUUUUACCACUUCACCGGCUGGGUUCCUUUUCACCUUGAAGACCCACUUCAGCCCAAUAGCCUUGUGGUCUUUUGGAAGAUCAGCAAUUUCCCAGGUAUUGUUCUUCACUAUUGACAUCAUCUCCUCUUCCAUGGCUUGCCUCCAGCAAGCUUGUUCAAGAGCCUAAUCAACACUAGCGGGCUCAUCUGCAGCCAGCAUACAAACCCCACUAUAUUCAAAAUCCAGAUCUUGGUAUGUUGAGUCAUACAGAUCGUUCAAGCUUAUGUACCUGUAGACCCCUUGACUCGAGAAGCUUGAAUCAUGGGAAGGUGGAGUUACUGAUCCCUGGUUAUGUGUGGAGCCGGGAGCUGAAAUGGGAGUGGAAUUUGGUGUUUAUGGCUGACCCAUCUCACUUCCCUGUUCAACUGAGUUCACUCCCCCUAAGUUUUGAUCAGAAGAAAUUUCAGUUUCAACAAUUUCUUCUAUUGUCGUCUCUCUGUCAGUUUUAUCAUAAUGAACCUCAAACAUGUCUGGAUCUUGACUGUUUUUUUUGAAAGGAAGGGGCAAAAGACUUGCCGCUCCGAUAUAUAUUAGAUUAGAGAAGAAAGAACGGGAGAAUACAAAACCAAAGCAACUGGAGGGAAGAAGAAAAGAAAGAAAAAAUAAAAGGAAUUAAAAAGAGUUUAAAAAGAAAACAAAGAACCACUAGUCAAGUCCAACAAGACCUCAGCUACUAGCAAUAUCCUUCACUGCAAGAGCCACUGGUUCUACGCUUCUAUGCUGACUUUGAAAAAUUAUGUUAUUUCUUUCCAACCAUAAAUUCCACCAAAAAUGAAUUAGCAGACCGUCGAAACAUCUUCUUGACUGUCUGUUGCAAAGGCUACGCAGACCCGUCCACCAAUCAUACAAAGAUGUGGAACUGGGAAUCCCAGACAGGAAAGGAAGGUUGGCCCAAGACAACACUUUGCUCCACACCUCUCUACUAAAGGGGCAAUCCUUGCAUAAGCGGAGAAUUGUUUCUGGGGCCGAGUUGCAGAGACAACAUAUUGGGUUGCAAGGCCAACCCCUUUUAUGAAGGUUAUCAGCAGUUAGGAUUCUCUUAUGUAGUAGUGUCCAAGCAAAAAAGCGGCACUUCGGUUCCACAUUAGCCUUCCAAAUGGGACAGAGAUUCAUUUUACUGUAAUUGGAUGAGAAUUGGAUUUUGUAUGCACUGCUUGCACUGUACUGCCCAUCUGUCGUCCAUCUCUAAGAAAUGGUGUCCUCCAAACCAUUAAGCUUCUGCAUGUUACCUAUGGCCUGCCAUAGAGAGACGAACUCUCUUAGCUCCCCCUCACCCGUGUAUGGGGAGCAUAAUCGUAUCCAAUUGUUGUUAGUGAGCGCUUUGUCAACCGUGAUGUUCUUCCUCUUUGCCUUCUUGAAUAGAGAUGGUGCAAUGUUCUUAGGGGCUUGGCCUUGGAUCCAGCUAGAUUUCUAGAAUUCAGCUAUCUUUCCAUUGCCAACCGUCACAGUUGUGGAAGCAUUGAAGAGAUCUUCAUCAGUUUUGUCACAAGGAAGCUUCAUGGCAGUCCACGCCCUGUCUUUGCUCUUCCAUCGCAGCCAUAGCCAUCUUAGUCUUAACCCCCUCGCAAAACGAUCAAGAUCCAGAAUUCCAAGACCCCCCUUGUUCUUUGGGAGGCAAGUGAUGGGCCAGUUGAUAAGGCAGUGACCCCCGUUGCAAGCAUCUGGAUUGCUCCCUUUGCACAGUAAGUUUCUUCUCAUUUUGUCAAUUGCUUGCAACAGCCAUUUUUGAGGUGGGAAAACCGUUAGGUGGUAGGUUGUUUGUGCGGAUAGCACCGAUUUUACUAGAGUUUCCCUACCAGCCUUGGACAUCAGUUUGCCUUUCCAGCCAGCCAACCUGUUAUUAAUUUUUUCGAUUAGUGGUUGGAGAUCAAUCCUUUUUACAUUCCGGUAAUGAAGGGGUAACCCAAGGUACUUCCCGGGUAGGCUAGUGUAUUUUCCAGGAAACACAUCCAUUAGCGUUGGCCAUAAUGAUGCUGGAUAUCGAAAUGGGAAAAUUUCUGUUUUGUCAUAGUUGAUCUUUAGCCCUGAACACCCCUUGAACGCGUUGAGAAUCCCUUUCAGCACCUCCAAGUCUAAUUUGUCAGCUCUAACAAACACGCCCGCAUCAUCCGCGUAGAGAGAGCACCGAAGCUUAGCCCCUCUAGGCAGCACCUGUUCAAGCAGUCCAUCUUCAGUGGCCUUCUCAAUCAUCCGAUGUAGCGGGUCCAUCGCUAAAAUGAAAAGGAAGGGAGACAGAGGGUCCCCUUGUUGCACCCCCACGCCUGUGUUUGAUUGCAUUUGAAUGUUGCCCAUUUAUAAUUAUUCUUGAGGAGGAUGAUCCCAUGAUUUCAGCUACCCAAUUGCGCCAUUUCUGGGAGAACCCGCAGGCCCUUAACACAUCCAAGAGAUAUGCCCAAUUCAGGGUGUCGAAAGCUUUGGAGAUGUCGAGCUUGACAAAAAGAGCUGGAUUACCUUUUUUUAUGCAGAUUCAUGAUCACCCUUUGCAUGUAUAUAAAGUUGUCAUGAAUUGAUCGGUUCUGGAUGAAGGCGUUCUGAGCGUUGGAGAUAAUUUCGUUCAUUCUUGGAGCAAGCCUAUUUGCCAUGAUUUUUGUUAUAAUUUUCAUGAAGCUAUUGAUCAGGCUGAUUGGCCUAAACCUAUCAAUUCUGUCAGCAUUUUCCCCCUUCGGUAUGAGGAUGAUGUUUGCUUCGUUGACCAGAUGCAGACUUUUGGAUCUAUGUUGGAAAAAAUCAUUUAUUGCCAUGGAAAGGUCAUUUUUGAUCAACUCGAAGCAGCAUUUGUAGAACAGGCCAAUGAACCCAUCCAGCCCGGGGGCCUUUUCAUAUUGAAGCCCCAUCACAACGUCCUUGAUUUCACUGUCAUCAAUCAAGUUGUCCAGCUCAGAUAACUCAAAAGGAGCAUACCCCAGAUGGUCCCAAUGAACAGCACUACUCCUACCUGUCGUGCCUAGUACCUGGCCGAAGUGAUGUUGUACCUCGUUCAUUUUGUCUUCCUGACUCGUCAACAGUGUGCCAUCUCGAAUUAGCGAUCUGAUUAAAUUUUUCCUUCUUCUGUUAUUGGCCGCUAAGUGAAAGAACUUAGUGUUAGCAUCGCCCAACCGCAUCCAAGUAAGUCUGGAAUGUUGUCUUGCACAUGACCUCUGAGCGGAGGCAAUAUCCAGAAUCUUGAUUUUAAGAGUCCUCCUGAAUUCCAAUUCUUCGGAGGAGAGUUGUCUAAUCUCUUGUGCUUUCUCCAGAAGAGUGAGGAUGAUCUGAAUGAUAGCCAUCUGCACUUUGAAGUUGCCAACUGUAUUGCGUCUCCAGGCCAAUAGAGCCUUGGCCGAGCAAGUCAUCUUUACGUGAAGUCGAAGGAUGGCAUCAUCAGUGUUUACUGUAGAAUUCCAUGCUUGAUGGACUACCUCGUUGAACCCCUCAAUCUGUGGCCAGAAAGAUUCGAAUCUAAACCCCCGGUAGAAGUUAACCGAAGAGUGGCCUUGCAUUAAAAGCGGGCAGUGGUCCGAUGUCAUGGUGCACAUGGAGUGCAGGUCAGCCGAGGGAUACAGGUCAUGCCACUCUGUUGUCGCAAAGAAUCUGUCAAUCCUAGUCAUGGUAGGGUCAACUUGCUCAUUUGACCAGGUGAAUGCUCUAUCGGUGAGAUCUAGCUCUAAGAGAUGCAGAUCAUCAAUUAUGCUAUUGAACUGCCUCAUCACCCUUCUGUUGAUUGAUCCUUUGUUUUUCUCCCUUGCUCUCCUGAUCAUGUUGAAUUCACCUAAUAACACCCAUUCUGGUCUCACCAUGGUUUGGAUGUUACGGAGCUCAGAGAGGAAUAUCAUUUUUUCAUUGUCCAGUUGGGGUAAGUAGACACCCAUGAGGUCCCAAACCUCAUCCACCAAUCUAGAAUUGAUCCUGACUGACAGUGAAUAGGCUGAUGAACAUGGUAAGAGAACCAUGUCAAAAUAAUCCGAAUCAGCAGCGAUUAGGAUUCCGCCCGAGGCGCCCAGAGAAGGUAAGUGAAAAGUUUGGUUUGCAAGCUUGGCACCUACAGUUUCCUUUAAUAAUACAUUUGACCAGCUCGAGAUCUUUGUCUCUUGAAGGCAAACAAUGGAUGCGCCAGUGGACAAAAUUGUAUGCCUUACGCUUUCUCUCUUAGCGUGGUCGUUUAACCCCCAUACAUUCCAAGAAAAAUAGAGCAUUUCAGAUUCAUAAGGUAAUAAAAACCACUCUAGUUGAGACAGUACGAAGCCACCAAUCAUAUCUCAGCCAGGAACCCUGCUGCAGCGAACUAACAGGAAAUAAUGCUUUCAGACAAGGAUUCGCCGAGCCAAUAGAUUGCCCAGACCCAAACGACAAACUGAAAAAACAGAGAUACAAAGGCAUGCCAGGGACCCUAUAGCACUGCCCAGACGCACUAAAACCAGCAGAGAUUAAACAGCGAACAAAGGGAAGGCUGAGCCCGGAACCGCGCCGAUAGCGCCUAGCCAUCUGAGUAAACAUUGAUCUCCAAAAGAACCACCAACAGGCCUAGUCAAGGAGCUCAGAUCCCCUUUGCCUUCACGACUUUGAUGGCCGGCACCACCUUUCGACCCUUCUUUUUAGACUUCACUGCCUUCACAUUGUCUUGAUUUAUCAGCUCCAUGAUUGCCUCCAUUUGCUUCUUGGAGAGAGGCCUUGUGAAUAGACAUGUGAUCUGCUCAAAUGAAUCAUCAAAGUCAGUAAAGCCUGAAGAACUAGAGCGGUCUGAUUUUUUUACUGCAGAAUUGUUAAGUUUGGCGAGUAUGAUUUCCUGGGCUUUGGAUAUCGCAUCCUGGUUACUCCUAGUCUUAAUGCAUUUCUUCGCAGCCAGCCUAACACUUGAUCUUCUAGUGGUGGGUUGGUUCUGAAAUUUUAAUGGAUGUGAUGUGGUCGUGCUACUUUUCGGCGGGGAUGGAAUCAAUGGUGGCUCUGGUGGAUUUGUUAUUGCCGCGAUGAAGUCGAGCAACUGAGUAUUGUCGGCCGAGCUAUUCCCUGUCCUCAGAGCAGGAGAAGCUCUUAAGGUUUCAUGAUUAUCACUAUCAGCUGGUUGAAAAUCUGGUUGAUUGUCACUAUCGACUGGUUGAAAAACUGGGCCGGGUAAGUCAUGGAUAAAUGAGGCACCCAUUAGGCCGACCCGAUCAGCAGCAGGCAUGUUGUAAUCUAUAGCUUGAUUAUCAUUCACAAGUUGAGAGCCUAAAAACUCAAUCGGUUGGACAGCUAGGGCCUUGGCUAGAGUAGAAGUGUUUAGGUUCACGCUAGUGGAACACGCCAGCACACUGUCUAAACUGUUGUGAAUUGUGGCAAAAACAUUAGUGAGAUCAAUAGUAUUGGUUACCUUGCACUUGGAGGUAGCAGGGUCGUGCGAGGUUUCCUGGUUGUCACCGCCAAUAGAGCUUGACUUGCUUCCAACACCAUCAGUUAGCCCCAGACUGUCCUCCUGCGGUCAAACAACAGAAACAAUGGUGUCUGCAAAUGAAACAAUUUUGACCUUCGCCUUGGGCACCCAGCGAGAUGACGGUGUCAUCCCCAGACCAUGACGACGAAAAGGAGUUGAAUGCCUAUGCUUGUCGUUGGAGCUAUAUCAGUCAUCCAUCCCCCCCGCAUCACGACGAACGCGCCCAACCGGAAAGGCUACGAUGUCUACGGUUGCCGCUGUGUCUGUCACGCUGAAAGUCCCCUUCAUCAUCAUCGUGGCCCCAGUCACGGCGCACAGUCUCUCUACCUCUGAAAGCUUCUGCACGUUCUAUUUUUUCGCCCACUGAGUCCGGGGCGCCAUAGUUCCAAACAAACUCUCUGUGCUGCUUGCGAUUAGGAGGCCCCCUGGAUCCCCUCCCAUGGAGGAACGAGAGGUCUUCCACAACCUCGAUGUGAUUGCGAAGGGUGUAAACAUGGCCAGCUUUCAGAUCAGAAGGUUCAUCAUGAUGAGCACCAACAAGUGGUAAGGGGGUGUUGAUUGGUGGAAGCUCCCUGUCUAGUUCUAAUAGCGUUAGCUGGACCUCUUUGGGGAUGUCACAAGGGUCAGAGCACCAUGCCCAGAGAUCGAAAGACCUAGUGCGCUCUCUAUGCCUUGUGCGCUCUUGCACAUAGUGGAUUGCACAGCUCUUGCCCAAGGCCUUCGAAGCCACUUCUUCCCCCCAACAGUGAACCAGAAUCCAUUCAACCCGGACUUUAACUCUAAAUUCAAGGUUUGUUUUCCUAGCAUAGUUGUCCUCUGACCAAUCACCAAAAUGGAAAAUCCGGCCACGAUACGAGACCGAUCUCCUAUCUAGCGCCCAUAGCUUCGACCUUGGAUCCGGGAAGAUGAUAAAGAAUUGCUCAGGAAAGUGCUUGACUAGUUGAUACUGACCGUAGUGAAGGUUGAACUUCUCCCUCAGCAUGUCUCCUGCAGAUAAUGUGUCAACCUCAUGACUGUUGCCGUCGAAGGAGCAAACUACAGCCUUGUCAAUCAGGUCGUCUCUGCGGCGACGGAUGGAGCCGGUCGCCGAGACCGAACAGAAGGCACGCGAUGUCCUUCCCCGAGGAUCUCUAGGGUAGCGAGCCUCCAUUCAUUGGCCUUCCUGAACAGCCUGGAGGAAGGAUUUCUUGUGUAUGAGGGGCAGUUGACUGAGCGGAGCCUUCCGGGGUUGCUCCUGGUACUUAUGGAGGUCGUCGGGCCAUAGCAGCAGCUCAUGGUAGGUAGAGCUCUUUGAUGGAUGCUCGGAUGGUUUAGGAUUAUAGCGAGCAACAUUGAAUGUCCCCUGGGAGCUUUUCUGGUUGCAGGACCUCGCCCGGUGUCCAAAUUGUAGGCAAUGCCAGCAGCGCGUAGGAGCCGAGCAGCAAAAAGCGAGAUGUUCUGGUGAGAGACAGUUGUAGCAUUUACCCUUGAGAUUCAAUUUGAAAAGACUGGUGCCCUUCAUGUCAAAUUGAUGUUUUUGCGGAGCUCUCUCAGGAGCCAUCAAGUUCUUGCGCCACCAGUACCGCGGCCUGACCACAGACCAACCCCCUUCGUUGACAUCCGGAGCAGCAAGAUAUGGCUGUCCAUUCAUACGCGACGCAACAUUGAGACCUUCAGCACGUCGAUGGGACAAAACGCUGCCUGAAUUCAAAGCCCGAUCCGCCUUGCAGGAAUGCUGGAAGCCCGACGAGCAGUCUGCUUCCCACUUGGCUUUUUUAGUCGCCAGGAUACUCGACAUUGAAGUCUGACGUUGUGGAUCUCCAUGUACCGCCUGCACUGGGCGUGAUUCUGCUGUGGUUCUUGAGAUUAGAUCCAAAUUGGUUGUUGAAUAAGAGCCAUCGCCGGUCGCGAUGGUGAAAGUCGCCUAGAGGGGGGUGAAUAGGGCGAAUCUGAAAUUUACAAACUUAAUCACAACUACAAGCUGAGUUAGCGUUAGAAAUAUAAACGAGUCCGAGAGAGAGGGCGCAAAACAAAUCACAAGCGAAUAAGGAGUGUGACACAUGGAUUUGUUUUACCGAGGUUCGGUUCACGCAAACCUACUCCCCGUUGGGGUGGUCACAAAGAUCGGGUCUCUUUCAACCCUUUCCCUCUCUCAAACGGUCCCUCGGACCGAGUGAGCUUCUCUUCUCAAUCAAACGGGAACCAAACUUCCCCGCAAGGACCACCACACAAUUGGUGUCUCUUGCCUUGGUUACAAUUGAGUUGAUCGCAAGAAAGAAUGAGAGAAAGAAGCAAUCAAAGUGCAAGAGCUCAAAUGAACACAACAAAUCUCUCUCACUAAUCACUAAAGCUUUGUGUGGAGUUGGGAGAGGAUUUGAUCUCUUUUGUGUGUCUUGUAUUGAAUGCUAGCUCUUGUAAGUAGUUGGAAGGUGGAAAACUUGGAUGCCUUGAAUGUGGGGGUGGUUGGGGUAUUUAUAGCCCCAACCACCAAACUUGACCGUUGGUGGAGGCUGCUGUCGAUGGGAGCACCGGACAGUCCGGUACGCCAGCCACGUCACCAGGCCGUUGGGUUCCGACCGUUGGAGCUCUGUCUUGUGGGCCCGCCUGGCUAUCCGGUGGUGCACCGGACAGGCCCUGUAGGCUGUCCGGUGUGCCACCCGCGCGUGCUCUGCUCCUCUGCGCGCGCAGGCACGCAUUUAAUACGUUGCAGUCGACCGUUGCGCGCGAAGUAGUCGUUGCUCCGCUGUCACACCGGACAGUCCGGUGUGCGCCGGACACUGUCCGGUGACUCACCAGACAGUCUGGUGAAUUAUAGCGGAGCAGAUUCCCGAAGCUGGCGAGUUCAGAGUUGCUCUCCCUUGGAGCACCGGACACUGUCCGGUGGUGCACCGGACAGUCCGGUGCGCCAGACCAGGGCACACUUCGGUUAUCCCUUGCUCUCUUUGUUGAACCCUUUUCUUGGUCUUUUUAUUGGCCUUUUGUGAACCUUUGGCACCUGUAGAACUUAUAGACUAGAGCAAACUAGUUAGUCCAAUUAUUUGUGUUGGGCAUAUCAACCACCAAAAUCAAUUAGGAAAUAGGUGUAAGCCUAAUUCCCUUUCAAUCUCCCCCUUUUUGGUGAUUGAUGCCAACACAAACCAAAGCAAAUAUAGAAGUGCAUAAUUGAACUAGUUUGCAUAAUUGUAAGUGCAAAGGUUACUUAGAAUUGAGCCAAUAUAAAUUUUCAUAAGAUACACAUGGAUUGUUUCUUUAUUUUUAACAUUUUGGACCACGCUUGCACCACAUGUUUUGUUUUUGCAAAUCCUUUUGUAAAUUCUUUUCAAAGUUCUUUUGCAAAUAGUCAAAGGUAAAUGAAUAAGAAUUUUGAGAAGCAUUUUCAAGAUUUGAAAUUUUCUCCCCCUGUUUCAAUUGCUUUUCCUUUGACUAAACAAAACUCCCCCUCAAUAAAUUCUCCUCUUAGUGUUCAAGAGGGUUUUAAGAUACCGAUUUUGAAGGUGCUACUUUCUCCCCCUUUUGAACAUAAUGAAAUACCAAUUUGAAAAUCAUGAGUUUUAAAAUUAGGUGGUGGUGCGGUCCUUUUGCUUUGGGCUAAUACUUUCUCCCCCUUUGGCAUGAAUCGCCAAAAACGGAUACUUUGAUUGAAAUAUAAGCCCUUUUAAACUACUUUCUUCCCUUUGGCAAACAAAAUAUGAGUGAAGAUUAUACCAAAGACGGAGAGAUGCUCGGAGCGACGGCGAAGGAUGAGUUAUGGAGUGGAGUGGAAGCCUUUGUCUUCGCCGAAGACUCCAAUUCCCUUUCAAUAUACCUAUGACUUGGUUUGAAAUUCACUUGAAAACACAUUAGUCAUAGCACAUGAAAGAGACAUGAUCAAAAGUAUAUUCAUGAGCUAUGUGUACAACACAUCAAAAGAAAUUCCUAGAAUCAAGAAUAUUUAGCUCAUGCCUAAGUUUGUUAAAAGUUUGUUCAUCAAGUGGCUUGGUAAAGAUAUCGGCUAAUUGAUCUUUAGUGUUAAUGUAUGCAAUCUCGAUAUCUCCCUUUUGUUGGUGAUCCCUUAAGAAGUGAUACCGAAUGGCUAUGUGUUUAGUGCGGCUAUGCUCAACGGGAUUAUCCGCCAUGCGGAUUGCACUCUCAUUAUCACAUAGAAGAGGAACUUUGGUUAAUUUGUAACCAUAGUCCCUAAGGGUUUGCCUCAUCCAAAGCAAUUGCGCGCAACAAUGGCCUGCGGCAAUGUACUCGGCUUCGGUGGUAGAAAGAGCUACAGAAUUUUACUUCUUUGAAGCCCAAGACACCAAGGAUCUUCCCAAGAACUGGCAAGUCCCGGAUGUGCUCUUUCUAUUAAUCUUACACCCUGCCCAAUCGGCAUCCGAAUAACCAAUUAAAUCAAAGGUGGAUCCCCUAGGAUACCAAAGCCCAAACUUAGGAGUAUAAACUAAAUAUCUCAAGAUUUGUUUUACGACCGUAAGGUGAGCUUCCUUAGGGUCGGCUUGGAAUCUUGCACACAUGCAUACGAAAAGCAUAAUAUCCGGCCGAGAUGCACAUAAGUAAAGUAAAGAGCCUAUCAUCGACCGGUAUACCUUUUGAUCGACGAAUUUACCUCCCGUGUCGAGGUCGAGAUGCCCAUUGGUUCCCAUGGGUGUUUUGAUGGGCUUGGCAUCCUUCAUCCCAAACUUGUUUAGAAUGUCUUGAAUAUACUUCGUUUGGCUAAUGAAGGUGCCCUCUUGGAGUUGCUUCACUUGAAAUCCUAAGAAGUAUUUCAACUCCCCCAUCAUCGACAUCUCGAAUUUCUGUGUCAUGAUCCUACUAAAUUCUUCACAUGUAGAUUCGUUAGUAGACCCAAAUAUAAUAUCAUCAACAUAAAUUUGGCAUACAAACAAAUCAUUGUCAAGAGUUUUAGUAAAUAAAGUAGGAUCGGCCUUUUCGACUUUGAAUCCAUUAGUGAUAAGAAAAUCUCUUAGGCAUUCAUACCAUGCUCUUGGGGCUUGCUUGAGUCCAUAAAGCGCCUUAGAGAGUUUAUACACAUGGUUAGGAUACUCACUAUCUUCAAAGCCGGGAGGUUGCUCAACAUAGACCUCUUCCUUGAUUGGUCCAUUGAGGAAGGCACUUUUCACGUCCAUUUGAUAAAGCUUAAAGCCAUGGUAAGUAGCAUAGGCAAGUAAUAUACGAAUUGACUCAAGCCUAGCUACGGGUGCAUAGGUUUCACCGAAAUCCAAACCUUUGACUUGUGAGUAUCCCUUGGUCACAAGUCAGGCUUUGUUCCUUGUCACCACACCAUGCUCAUCUUGCUUGUUGCGGAACACCCACUUGGUUCCUACAACAUUUUGAUUAGGACGUGGAACAAAAUGUCAUACCUCAUUCCUAGUGAAGUUGUUGAGCUCCUCUUGCAUCGCCACCACCCAAUCCGAAUCUUGUGGUGCUUCCUCUAUGUCACACCCGGUUUUAGAAGGCAAACCGAAUGAGAACCAUGUACGUGCCAGGAUCAGUUAUUCACGUACACAGCAGUUACAUAAUAUGGACAUCAUCACACAGUGCUCAAAAUAGUAUUAAUAAGGGAAAUAGUCGAUUACAUCAUACGUCUGAGACGUCCAUAUAGUUCUUACAAUAAAUCAAAGUGCGGAAAAGAAACAUAGAUAACCGCGGCCUUCACAGGCAGCCGACUGGGGGGUUGCCGCUAACCCACACCUAGAACUCGUCGUAGUCUUGGAACUCCUGGAAGUCUCCUUCCACAGCUUCAUCUUCGCCUGAGCAGUGGUUGCAAUGCUGACAACCUGGGGAUGGGGGGGGUUUGGUGUGUAGAGCAAGGGUGAGUACACAUCAACAUACUCAGCAAGUAUCCUGUUUGGCUGUAGUGGACUAGCUGUAUGUGGGGGAUAAGUCAAGCAGUUGCUUUUAGUUGGUCAGAUUAUUACUUACUAGUAGAAAGCCAAGUUUUAGCAUUAACCCAAGUUAUUAACCCAAACAUACUCCUUUCCAAACGGAAAGAGUACCACUUACCAGCAUCAUAGUCAUAACCGGAACCAUCGAUCUCAUAACCACCUGUACCAA